RNAcentral lists this non-coding RNA (29 nucleotides) under Mus musculus (house mouse). Lineage: Eukaryota; Metazoa; Chordata; Mammalia; Rodentia; Muridae. The record is from RNAcentral.
UAACCAAUGAUAAACUGCCAGCCCUAAAC